AUAAGCACGCUCUGUAGGUAGCUCGGCUGGGCUCGGCGGAUCCUGCUGUCAGGGUCGCCGUGCCAGCCGGGCUCGGGAGCGCCGUGCUGCUGUUGUGCGGUCGCUGGGCUGGUGGGUGUCCUGCCGGGGGGACAGCGCGGCCCUGCGAGAGGAGCUGCCGUGUGGUUCCCAGCGUCCUGUCCGGCACCGGGGCUGCAGCUUAGGAGGAGGAGCUCGGCUCUGUUCGUGCUGCCGCUCGGAACACAACUGGAAGAACUUCCUUUUAUCUAGAUUGCUCAGCUGAACACACGGUCAUUCAGACGUACAAGACAGUGAUGUACAGUUCCUCUUUGUCUGCAGGAACAUAAAUUCGGAUCCCUUUCCUGGCUAAGAAAAUGCCCUGAUUGCCACCAGUCAGUUGUCCUGGAGACCUAGGUGCUAGCAUGUCUACUCUUCGUGUUUCACAGAGAAUGAAUGACUGCAGGCUUCAUUUAGUAGCAAAGGCUUAGGCAGAUGUAUUUUCUAUAAAAUAUGGUCCUAACUUGCUUAUUCCAACAAACAGAUAAAGCGCAUGUAACUGUGACAAGAUAUUCAGAAAACAGUGUCUUCAUGCCUAAUGAGACGCUCACCUGGUUUUUACUGCCCCAUUAACAAAACCAAUACCUUAUUACAUUGUACAUGGCCUGGAUGUCAACAGUCUAUCCAUCCCUACCAUAGAAGUGUUUAACUACUCCCCGCUUAAUAAACAUGUUGCCAUUACUGGCUUUUGUCAGGA
Long non-coding RNA from Strigops habroptila (Kakapo), 754 nucleotides. RefSeq lists it as uncharacterized. The record is from RefSeq and is a predicted model, not a curated record. Lineage: Eukaryota; Metazoa; Chordata; Aves; Psittaciformes; Psittacidae. The transcript has 2 exons.